RNAcentral lists this ribosomal RNA (497 nucleotides) under uncultured bacterium. RNAcentral's name for it is "partial 16S ribosomal RNA". It matches the Rfam family "Bacterial small subunit ribosomal RNA", at positions 28 to 507 of the family's 1533-position model. The record is from RNAcentral.
GAUGAACGCUGGCGGCGUGCCUAAUACAUGCAAGUCGAGCGAACGGACGAGAAGCUUGCUUCUCUGAUGUUAGCGGCGGACGGGUGAGUAACACGUGUAUAACCUACCUAUAAGACUGGGAUAACUUCGGGAAACCGGAGCUAAUACCGUAUAAUAUUUUGAACCGCAUGGUUCAAAAGUGAAAGACGGUCUUGCUGUCACUUAUAGAUGGAUCCGCGCUGCAUUAGCUAGUUGGUAAGGUAACGGCUUACCAAGGCAACGAUGCAUAGCCGACCUGAGAGGGUGAUCGGCCACACUGGAACGGAGACACGGUACAGAGUCCUACGGGAGGGAGCAGUAGGGAAACGUCCGCAAUGGGCGGAAGCCUGACGGAGCAACGCCGCGUGAGUGAGGAAGGUCUUCGGAUCGUAAAACUCGGCCAUUAGGGAAGAACAUAUGUGUAAGUAACUGUGCACAUCUUGACGGUACCUAAUCAGAAAGGCACGGCUAACUACGUG